GGGAACGUACCCUUUACUACGGAAUAACGCAGGGAAACUUGUGCUAAUACCGUAUGUGCCCUUUGGGGGAAAGAUUUAUCGGUAAAGGAUCGGCCCGCGUUGGAUUAGCUAGUUGGUGGGGUAAAGGCCUACCAAGGCGACGAUCCAUAGCUGGUCUGAGAGGAUGAUCAGCCACAUUGGGACUGAGACACGGCCCAAACUCCUACGGGAGGCAGCAGUGGGGAAUAUUGGACAAUGGGCGCAAGCCUGAUCCAGCCAUGCCGCGUGAGUGAUGAAGGCCUUAGGGUUGUAAAGCUCUUUCACCGGAGAAGAUAAUGACGGUAUCCGGAGAAGAAGCCCCGGCUAACUUCGUGCCAGCAGCCGCGGUAAUACGAAGGGGGCUAGCGUUGUUCGGAAUUACUGGGCGUAAAGCGCACGUAGGCGGACUUUUAAGUCAGGGGUGAAAUCCCGGGGCUCAACCUCGGAACUGCCUUUGAUACUGGAAGUCUUGAGUAUGGAAGAGGUAAGUGGAAUUGCGAGU
RNAcentral lists this ribosomal RNA (520 nucleotides) under uncultured bacterium. RNAcentral's name for it is "bacterial SSU rRNA". It matches the Rfam family "Bacterial small subunit ribosomal RNA", at positions 120 to 674 of the family's 1533-position model. The record is from RNAcentral.